Molecule: transfer RNA, 84 nt
Filed under: Clostridiales bacterium GWE2_32_10
Lineage: Bacteria; Bacillati; Bacillota; Clostridia; Eubacteriales
Also listed under: 1 other name
Description: tRNA-Leu
Rfam family: tRNA
About the family: Transfer RNA (tRNA) molecules are approximately 80 nucleotides in length.
Source: RNAcentral
GCGACUUUGGCGGAACUGGCAGACGCGCAGGACUAAGGAUCCUGUGGGAGCAAUCCCGUGAGAGUUCGAGUCUCUUGAGUCGCA